RNAcentral lists this transfer RNA (73 nucleotides) under Canis lupus familiaris (dog). It matches the Rfam family "tRNA". From Rfam's summary of the family: Transfer RNA (tRNA) molecules are approximately 80 nucleotides in length. Their secondary structure includes four short double-helical elements and three loops (D, anti-codon, and T loops). Further hydrogen bonds mediate the characteristic L-shaped molecular structure. tRNAs have two regions of fundamental functional importance: the anti-codon, which is responsible for specific mRNA codon recognition, and the 3' end, to which the tRNAs corresponding amino acid is attached (by aminoacyl-tRNA synthetases). tRNAs cope with the degeneracy of the genetic code in two manners: having more than one tRNA (with a specific anti-codon) for a particular amino acid; and 'wobble' base-pairing, i.e. permitting non-standard base-pairing at the 3rd anti-codon position. Lineage: Eukaryota; Metazoa; Chordata; Mammalia; Carnivora; Canidae. RNAcentral also lists the same sequence under 1 other name. The record is from Rfam by way of RNAcentral.
GCCUGACUGGCUCAGUUGGUGGAGCAUGCGACUCUUGAUCUCAGGGUUUUGAGUUCAAGCCCCAUGUUGGGUA